AUUGAACGCUGGCGGCAGGCCUAACACAUGCAAGUCGAGCGGUAGAGAGGUGCUUGCACCUCUUGAGAGCGGCGGACGGGUGAGUAAAGCCUAGGAAUCUGCCUGGUAGUGGGGGAUAACGCUCGGAAACGGACGCUAAUACCGCAUACGUCCUACGGGAGAAAGCAGGGGACCUUCGGGCCUUGCGCUAUCAGAUGAGCCUAGGUCGGAUUAGCUAGUUGGUGAGGUAAUGGCUCACCAAGGCGACGAUCCGUAACUGGUCUGAGAGGAUGAUCAGUCACACUGGAACUGAGACACGGUCCAGACUCCUACGGGAGGCAGCAGUGGGGAAUAUUGGACAAUGGGCGAAAGCCUGAUCCAGCCAUGCCGCGUGUGUGAAGAAGGUCUUCGGAUUGUAAAGCACUUUAAGUUGGGAGGAAGGGCAUUAACCUAAUACGUUAGUGUUUUGACGUACCGACAGAAUAAGCCCC
RNAcentral lists this ribosomal RNA (470 nucleotides) under Pseudomonas sp. ITSI26. RNAcentral describes it as "bacterial SSU rRNA". It matches the Rfam family "Bacterial small subunit ribosomal RNA", at positions 30 to 494 of the family's 1533-position model. The record is from RNAcentral. Lineage: Bacteria; Pseudomonadati; Pseudomonadota; Gammaproteobacteria; Pseudomonadales; Pseudomonadaceae.